CUGUCUUGGAGGUGGAAAAGAGCGUGGAAACAUAGAAAAGCAAACUAUUUCAUAGACUGAAUUGGAUUUAACGCAACAAGGGAAAUGCUGUCAAACUGGAGUUACAAUUAAACCUUAAGGGACUGGCACUGAGGACACGACCCUGCUGCCCGUGGAUUGGAUACCUCGCGCUACCCAGAUCAGCCUGUUCAGACUCAUAGCUCCUCAGUGGGGCAAAUCACUUUGUGUAGUUCACUGGGGAAAGAGGAGGAAGCUGACUUUAUGGGUCCCUUUCAACAAGUUGGAAAUCGCAAAUUCAACAAUGAGAGAGAUUCCACCCCAAAUACAGAGAAUGACCAGACUUUGAUGACAAAGUUUGAUGACAAAAUUUACCCACAAAGGACCACCGUGCCACCUUUCUGUUUAAGUGAGCACAGCACAAGGUUCACCAGCUGACCCCUAUCAAGACACCCAUGUCGACUGGAUUCCCACUGUAAAGAUGAGCAAUGCUGCAGCAGCAACAGUUUCUGCUUCUACUUCGUCCUUUCCCAGCUGUGAAAGGAGACAUCCCUCAGUUAUACGAGAUGGUUGUCGUAUGUUGUACUUUGGACUAGCUGAAUGAUUCUGUUGUGCCAUUUGAGUAGAGAGCACCUUCACCUUGUCGUCAAGACAGAAGUGCCCCCUUAAAUCAUAUGAAUGUAUACAAUGUAUUUUGAAAAGUGUUAAAGACUAUUGUUCAUGACAUUGUAAACAUUCUGUACUUUAAUAAAACACUACAUUUUUGUAUGGGUGAAAUUAAAAGUAUUGUUCUCUCUGCUUUACCUAGCCCCAUUGAAUAGAAAGUGUUUCUUAUAGCCCAACUAUUUUAUUUAUUUUACAAUUUAUACACAUUUAGCAUAGACAAUGUAAUUUUUGGGGUAGUCUUAAGCAAACCAUAUUCAUUAACACUGUAGCACCUCUCAGUGCCACUCAGACCUUCUACGAGAAAAGUAUCUGGCAUUGAAAUUGGUAGUAGUAGUUGUAUGUUUUAAGCUAAGGAUCCCAUCAUCUCCUUCCAGACAUUUCACCACCUAGAUUACAAUGGUUGGAUUUGAACUAAACAAUUUAAUGUCAGCACAAGGCAUGUACAAAAUCCAGUAUAAUGAUUAGCCUCAUAUACAUUGUCAACUGGUAUCAUUUUUAAAUUGAGAACAUAUAGCUGAACAAUAUGUAAACCAUGUGUGAGUUAAGCUUCUCUGCUUCAGAUGCACAAUGGCGAGGGCUGCAUUGCAAAUGCCCAUAAGGCUAAUGCCAUCAUACUGUAGGCCAGUGGUUCCCAACACCAGUCCUCGAGUACCUCCAACAGUACAUUUUUAUUCUAGUCCUGGACAAACACACCUGAUUCAACUUAUCAACUAAUCAUCAGGCCCUCUGAGUUGAAUCAGGUACAAUGCAUUCAGGAAAUAUUCAGAACCCUUGACUUUUUAACAUUUUGUUA
This is a long non-coding RNA of Oncorhynchus tshawytscha (Chinook salmon), 1456 nucleotides long. RefSeq lists it as uncharacterized. The transcript is spliced from 4 exons. The record is from RefSeq and is a predicted model, not a curated record. Lineage: Eukaryota; Metazoa; Chordata; Actinopteri; Salmoniformes; Salmonidae.